GACGAACGCUGGCGGCGUGCUUAACACAUGCAAGUCGAACGAUGAACCCGGAGCUUGCUCCGGUGGAUUAGUGGCGAACGGGUGAGUAACACGUGAGUAACCUGCCCUUGACUCUGGGAUAACUGCGGGAAACUGUAGCUAAUACCGGAUACGACCCUCGGCGGCAUCGCCAGGGGGUGGAAAGAAUUUCGGUCAAGGAUGGACUCGCGGCCUAUCAGCUAGUUGGUGAGGUAACGGCUCACCAAGGCGACGACGGGUAGCCGGCCUGAGAGGGUGGCCGGCCACACUGGGACUGAGACACGGCCCAGACUCCUACGGGAGGCAGCAGUUGGGAAUAUUGCACAAUGGGCGCAAGCCUGAUGCAGCAACGCCGCGUGAGGGAUGACGGCCUUCGGGUUGUAAACCUCUUUUAGUAGGGAAGAAGCGAAAGUGACGGUACCUGCAGAAAAAGCACCGGCUAACUACGUGCCAGCCGCCGCAGUAA
RNAcentral lists this ribosomal RNA (484 nucleotides) under uncultured bacterium. RNAcentral's name for it is "partial 16S ribosomal RNA". It matches the Rfam family "Bacterial small subunit ribosomal RNA", at positions 28 to 523 of the family's 1533-position model. The record is from RNAcentral.